This 1705-nucleotide long non-coding RNA is filed under the name Anolis carolinensis (green anole). Its description in RNAcentral is "lncRNA (ENSACAG00000040613.1)". The record is from RNAcentral. Lineage: Eukaryota; Metazoa; Chordata; Lepidosauria; Squamata; Anolidae.
GUUGAGUUGCCAAGGAUUCAAAAUAGCAAAAAGAGAUUUCCAUGCAGGGUUGACAAUCAGGAUGUAACUAUUAACAGGUUUGUAUUCUACAUAAAUACCAAAGGAUUUUUUUAUCAUGUCAGAAGCAAAUUGAAAACAUACUGCAAGUCGCUUCUGGUGUGAGAGAAUCAGCCAUCUACAGAGACGUUGCCCAGGGGACACCUGGAUGUGUUAACAUCCUGUGGGAGGCUUCUCUCAUGUCACCACAUGGAAGCUGGGGCUGACAAAUGGGAGCUCACCCCGUUUCACAGAUUCAAAUCACCGGCCUUCAGAUCUUCAGAUCAGCAGUUCAGCAAGCCACGAUGGCACAAUGGGUUCCUUGUGCUGGCUGAACUGCUGACUAAAGAAUAUUGAUUCAGUGAACUUUACCAUGAAACCAGAUGCUUCAGGAACAUCAUGGCACACCACCUCUGAAUUUUCCUUGCCAAAGAGGAGGAGGAAGAAGAAGAAGAAGAAGAAGAAGAAGAAGUUUAUUUAUAUCCCACCUCCAUCUCCCCCAAAGGGGACUCGGGUGGCUUACAGCAAAAUCAGAUACAAAAACAACAACAAAAUAUGAAACAUCACAAUACAAUAACGAAAACCAAUAAUAAUAUAUACACAGUAACCGAAAAAACAGAAACGCAGUAUUAAAACAUCAAAAUAAAAACAAUGAGGUUGCAAUAGUGGAUAAGCAAAGUGCACAUUAUGAAUUGCAAAUUCAGAAAUAGAUAAAGUGCAACAGAUUCAUUUAAGGUCACAUUGGGUUGGGAGGAGCCCUGAAUUAAUGAGUUUGGGGAUUCAAUAACUUCUAUUCAUGAUGCUUCCUGUGUGGAGUUUGACCUGUCUUCUGUACCUAAUUCUGAUUAUUUCCUAUCACUUAGGCUGCAUCUGCAUAGCAAAAGUAAUGAAGUUUGACACCACUUUAAUAGCCAUGGCUCAAUUUUAUGAUACCCUGCGAUUUGUAGUUUGGUGAGGCACUGGCUCUCUUUGCCAGAGAAGGUGAAAAACGACUACCAUGAUUCCGUAGCAUUGAGCCAUGGAAGUGAAUAUGGUGUCAAGCUGCAUUAAUUCUGAUGCGUAGGGCACAUUUACAUUAACCACUAACCACAGAGGCUGGAUGUUGGGGGUGCUUUGAAUGCGAUUUUCCUGCUUCUUGGCAGGGGGGUUGGACUAGAUGGCCCAUGAGGUCUCUUCCAACUUUAUGAUUCUAUGAUUCUAUGACUUGCCAUUCUCAAUAGGCUCAAGCAAAAGCAAACCACUGAAUACACAGCUACCUUGUUUAUUUUUCUUUAUAAAUGUGUUUGCCCAUCAUGACCACACUCUAAUGUUACUAUGCAUCCCAGUUUCCAUUUGAGAAAUGUUGGAACAUAUUACUCUGCUCAGAAAUAAACCUCACUAUAUUUAAUGAGGUUUGCAUAAGAUCACGGGUUUAGGCAGCAUUUUUAAAAGAAAAACAGCUCUCUGUGUAAUGUAUAGAUACUAGCUUUGGUGAGUUCACAACCCAGGCUUCUGCUGUGGCUUGGGCAGUUUCAUUAAAUGACAAAUCUUUUAUGGUGAGCCCUUCACACAGUCAGCCUGAUCAUGAUUACAGGACACGUUCCACAACUCAGCAUGGAAGGAGGAUUCUAGGAAUGAGAUAGCAAGCAUAAGAAAUCAAUUUUGUGGGAAGGAGACAACAUUCAGGGAC